UGAAAAUGGAAUUUGCAUUGAAUCUAAUAGGAAUACUCUCAUUUUUAUGCUCAGUAUCGUUGCUUAUCAGUAUAGCAAACUAACACAACUAACCAUAGCAUCGUUGUCGCAAGGAUACACAAACAUGAAUAGCAUAACAUAAUUAGCACGGCUUGAAGGAUUCAAGAGCUAUAGGAAAGUAACGUGUAUAUCGAACAUUGCGAAAACGACGUUUCGUUGGAAGUAUUACACUAUAUAGUAUUUCAGCUUAAUAAAAAGAAAAGAAACAAAUAAAUAAUUAAUUUACAUAGCAAUAAUCCAUGUACAUUUCAUUUAAGUAUUUCUAGAAUCUUACAUAGAUAAUAAUGACGAGAAAACCUACAUAUUUCCAUAUUUCACUGGUCAGGGUAAAUAGUGUGUGCAUCAAGCGUUAACCCUAUGUUUGCAAAC
Molecule: non-coding RNA, 429 nt
Organism: Schizosaccharomyces pombe (fission yeast)
Lineage: Eukaryota; Fungi; Ascomycota; Schizosaccharomycetes; Schizosaccharomycetales; Schizosaccharomycetaceae
Source: the annotation of a GenBank genome assembly